GAGUGGUCAGCUGGGGCUGCACCCAGCACCCUGGCCCUCUCUGUGAUGGAGGAAGAGCCCUGGCUUCCCAGGGGGGCUGCAACCCGACCGAAACUGGCGGAAGACACACAGAGAGCUACCUAGCAAUGAACCCAAUUCAUGGAGGGGACCAACGUUAGCAAGAGAUGGAUCCCAGACCUCAACGGCUGUCUCAUUUGGGGUAAGAAUCGGUUUGACGGGACACUCUAGAGCUUGUUCAAUGGCAUCUGCAGCUGGUUUUAGAAGCCGAAAUACUUCAACAGACACAGAGACAGGCCUGAAGACAGGAGGAGGAAAGAGAGCAGAGCCUCGCCCUUCAUCAGAAACGGGGAGCCUUCGGGGCAGGUACCCUAAGAGAGGACAAGCAUCAGCACAGCCGUUCGUCUCUGGGAAUUAGGGUAAGUGCCCUGAUGGUCAUUGCCUUAGUCAGGAUUCUCCCGGGAAAACAGAACCCACAGCAAGAUCCGUAAAUAUUAUGAGAUUUUUAGAAGAAUUGCCUCACAGGCCUGUGGGGACGGGCAAGUCCAAACUCCGUAGGGCAGGCUGCACACUGGGAACUCCCAUGAAGGUUCUCGAUGACUUCCCCAGGACAGGUCAGCUGAAAUAGAUAGCAAUUCUCUCUUCUGACUGCUGAAAUCACUUCUUUUAAAGGGUAGGAUGAGGCUCCUCUGGCUGCUGAAGACAGUCUCCUGGG
This 712-nucleotide long non-coding RNA is filed under the name Dasypus novemcinctus (nine-banded armadillo). Its description in RNAcentral is "lncRNA (ENSDNOG00000052231.1)". Lineage: Eukaryota; Metazoa; Chordata; Mammalia; Cingulata; Dasypodidae. The record is from RNAcentral.